GAAGCCAUAGCAGAGUGGUGUUGUUCCUGGUGGGGAACCAGGAAGUCCUGGGUUCGAUCCCCCACCCAUUCC
This 72-nucleotide transfer RNA is filed under the name Hordeum vulgare. RNAcentral describes it as "tRNA-OTHER". The record is from RNAcentral. Lineage: Eukaryota; Viridiplantae; Streptophyta; Magnoliopsida; Poales; Poaceae.